Molecule: long non-coding RNA, 679 nt
Organism: Sander lucioperca (pikeperch)
Lineage: Eukaryota; Metazoa; Chordata; Actinopteri; Perciformes; Percidae
Exons: 2
Source: RefSeq, a predicted model, not a curated record
AGCUAUCAGUCACUAACCAUCCAACUCUCUCUAUCAAACUCAGUUGCCAGUUAAUUGGGUACACCUUGCUAAAAUGUAAUUGUAAAGUCAACUUUGUUGUCAUGGAGGCUGUAGUUUGUGGUGCCGUUUAAAAUGUUUUGCUUUAUACUGAUAGGUGUAUGAGUUUCUCCCCCUCAACAUCAAUGAAGGUGUUCAUUAACCAGGGCUAUCUGACCUGUGUUCAACCCCUUAUUUUGUCAAAAGAAGCCAGUCAACACGGUGCGGUGCAUACCAAUUACCUCAUGUGCUGGCAAUGGGCGGGGUUUACACAACAUACAAUUUUAAUCAACAGCUAACAUCACAUACUCCGGUUUAGCCCUUUGUGUGAAAGGGGUAAUAGAAACAACUCGGUGUAACACUACAAGUAUCACAAAAAAAGUUCAAUCAAUAUUCAAAAGUGAAAAGUAGGGAUGUCCCGAGCAAUUAUUUUGAAUAUUGAAUAUCUGCUAAUACUGAGUUCCGAUCCGAUACUCACAUUUGCUCAGAUAAUAAAGCUGCACACAAAAGUAACUAAAAUAUGCCUUAAGCUUAAUUUAGUGCAACAAAUGAGUCUUUUCUCUCAACACCAAAACAGUUCUCUUUAGGAUCCCAGCAAACCCCCAACCAAAGAAUAAACUGUUUCAAGUUCCCGCUGGACAAC